This 476-nucleotide ribosomal RNA is filed under the name uncultured bacterium. RNAcentral describes it as "bacterial SSU rRNA". It matches the Rfam family "Bacterial small subunit ribosomal RNA", at positions 25 to 518 of the family's 1533-position model. The record is from RNAcentral.
CAGGACGAACGCUGGCGGCGUGCUUAACACAUGCAAGUCGAACGGACGAGCACCCUUCGGGGUGUAAGUUAGUGGCGGACGGGUGAGUAACGCGUGAGUAACCUGCCUUGGAGUGGGGGAUAACACAGGGAAACUUGUGCUAAUACCGCAUAAGAUCAUAGGGUGGCAUCACCUAGUGAUCAAAGAUUUAUUGCUCCAAGAUGGGCUCGCGUCCGAUUAGAUAGUUGGUGAGGUAAAGGCCCACCAAGUCAACGAUCGGUAGCCGGACUGAGAGGUUGGCCGGCCACAUUGGGACUGAGACACGGCCCAGACUCCUACGGGAGGCAGCAGUGGGGAAUAUUAGGCAAUGGGGGAAACCCUGACCUAGCGACGCCGCGUGAAGGAUGAAGGUUUUCGGAUUGUAAACUUCUUUGGCAGAGGACGAUAAUGACGGUACUCUGAGAACAAGCCACGGCUAACUACGUGCCAGCAGCGGC